This 2074-nucleotide long non-coding RNA is filed under the name Coffea arabica (coffee). RNAcentral describes it as "long non-coding RNA (CARA_LNC002018)". The record is from RNAcentral. Lineage: Eukaryota; Viridiplantae; Streptophyta; Magnoliopsida; Gentianales; Rubiaceae.
UCUAACUGCUCACCCAAUUUGUUUACACGACUUUCAUGCUCCUUUAAAGAAUUAUUUUUCUCAUCUAGUUCUUUCAGAAGCACCAAACACUGCAUUUGCGCAGACUCUGCAGAUGCAGCACUAGUAGCUGCAGUUGCUUGAGUUGCUGAAAGCUGUGAUCGAAGAUCAUCCAACUCCUUAAGGUACUGCAUUGCAUUCAAAGAUUAAUGUUCUCAGCUUAGUGACCAGAAAAGAGAGGGGGGGGGGGGAGGGAGGCAAAAAAGAAUAAUAUAAGCUGUGAAAAGACACAAGAUAUUGUACCCUGGGCAUUUACAGAACAAGAAUGUCGCCUUACAUAAGGGAACUCGUAAUUUAUCAUCUCUACCAUAUGGCAAUGUAAAUGAAAUUCAGUUUUCACAGAUUCCAGCUAUUGUAUAGUUUUUAGUGCAUAAGAGAAGACUCAGUCCCCCACUUGUCCAGAAAUUCUAGUAGGAACAAACAAACAAUAAUUAGAAAAUAAAUAAGAAGUUUAAAAUUUUCCACUUGUAGUUUGGAGUAAAUACCAUCCCAAAAAGACAAAGCGUUGAAAAUUUCUCUGUUUCUUUCUAAGUUCAAUUAGCUUUGUCCUUCACUCCCCAGUAGAACUGAGUAUGGCAUAACUAAUAAUGUUGUUUAACAUUUUACCUUUUAAGGGUCAAACUACUUCAAAAGGUGUGGACCGAAGUUCUUUUGCCACCAUAACCAGUACAAAUGAUACUGUCAAUCAUAUGGUAACAUCACUCUCGCUUGGGUAUACCCCUCUAGUUUUCAAAAACUAAAAGUAAGCGAACCAGGAAAAACAGGAUACAACAAACAUAUACUCCCAUAAACAUUUGAACAAUGUUAAGAUUGACAGUGUACUGCCAAGCCAAAUAUAUUAGCAAAUGGCUGUAUUGGCCUAAUCUCACACUAAAAGAUUCUCUUUCCCAAACCAUUUCAUAUAAAUAAGAGGGACAAACUUUUUGAACCAUUCAAACUGCAAAAAAGUAAAGCAAGGCAACCAUUUAAUAAUGAAGUUGAUAGUUAAUCCUGUUCCUACUUCCCCAUAAUAACAAACAAGAAAAGCCAAAAAGUAGCUUCAAAAGAUGAGUAUCAGGUGUCAUGCUAAUGGAUCUACUCACAAACAUAAAACAAAAAUAAACUAUGAAAAAACAAAAUGCUAAAGAAAAACAAUCCCUCCCUUCAGAUCCAUCCGGUGAAAUCACCAGGAAAAACUAAAAUCAUCACAAACCAGAUUUGCAAUCCGAAGACCCAUAAUAGAAGAUAAAACAAAAUCAAUCUGUUUCGAACACAUGCAUAACCAUAAAGGUGGAAUUGAAACUAAUACUUUCUCAGAAGUAGAUGCAGAAGCACGAAGCUGCCCAUUUCUAUCUUCCAAGCUCUUGUGUAGUCUGUUUAUUUCCUCUUCCAUUUUCUUUGCUUUAAUCUCCGCUUCCUGCAAUUCAAAAAACCAUUAAUAAAAACAGAAGCUUUUCCAAAACCAACUGUGCCGAGUUUUUGGCUAAAAUCAAGAACUCCAUAGCAAAAUCAAACCCUUUUUCACAAGACCAAGAACCCAGUAAGUAGAACAAUCCGCGUUUGCAAAAACAAAAACCCAUUAAGAAACUCAAAAUUUUUAAGCAAAUCGAGAACCCGAUAAUAAAAACCAAAACUUUUCACCACAAUCAUCAACUUAAGGCCCCACCCAUUAUUUCACUUCCAAAAAGUCAAAAACUCAUAUAUCUUUCCAUUUCGGAACAUGCCUGGCGGGUUAGGGAUUCACGAGCAAAUGACUGUUCUUGAGAAGCAAGGCGGCUGCGGACAUCCUUCAGCUCAGCCGCCAAGGACACCACGUUCCUCCGGAAACUCUGCUUCUUCUCACUUAGAUCUUUUAACAAGGGAUCUAUCUCCCUUUCUCUUCCACCACCACCACCACCAGCCCCCAGUCCCACCGACGACGACAACGACGACACCGAGGAAGUAGACGAGGAGGAAGACGACGGCCUCUCCGUCACCGUCGAUACUGAUGACAUCACUGCAUACACAACUACUCUAAUGCUCCUCUGCUACUCUGCGU